RNAcentral lists this ribosomal RNA (459 nucleotides) under uncultured bacterium. RNAcentral's name for it is "partial 16S ribosomal RNA". It matches the Rfam family "Bacterial small subunit ribosomal RNA", at positions 338 to 795 of the family's 1533-position model. The record is from RNAcentral.
CCUACGGGAGGCUGCAGUGAGGAAUAUUGGUCAAUGGGCGCGAGCCUGAACCAGCCAAGUCGCGUGAGGGAAGACGGUCCUAUGGAUUGUAAACCUCUUUUGUCGGGGAGCAAAAGACGCCACGCGUGGCUUUCCGAGAGUACCCGAAGAAAAAGCAUCGGCUAACUCCGUGCCAGCAGCCGCGGUAAUACGGGGGAUGCGAGCGUUAUCCGGAUUUAUUGGGUUUAAAGGGUGCACAGGCGGAAGAUCAAGUCAGCGGUAAAAUUGAGGGGCUCAACCUGUUCGAGCCGUUGAAACUGGUUUUCUUGAGUGAGCGAGAAGUAUGCGGAAUGCGUGGUGUAGCGGUGAAAUGCAUAGAUAUCACGCAGAACUCCGAUUGCGAAGGCAGCAUACCGGCGCUCAACUGACGCUCAUGCACGAAAGUGUGGGUAUCGAACAGGAUUAGAUACCCGGGUAGUC